ACCUUCAUAGUCCAGAGGUUAGGAUAUCUGAUUUUCACACGCUUUGAAAUCUCAGAAGACCCGAGUUCGAAUCUCGGUGAGGGUG
Kalmusia sp. IMI 367209 is the source of this 85-nucleotide non-coding RNA. NCBI's taxonomy places the organism in Eukaryota, Fungi, Ascomycota, Dothideomycetes, Pleosporales, Didymosphaeriaceae. The record is from the annotation of a GenBank genome assembly.